CACCGCUCUUUUCCUUUUCCUCCAAUGUCUUCUCCCUCUUCCCCAUUUGAUUCAACGAUUCUCCAUUUUCUCUUCCAUUUUCUCUCUCAGGUCGUAAACCAAAAAUCAUCUAAUACCCCUCGUCAGUUUUUCUCUGUCGAUCAAACCAUGGUUGUCAGGGUUGCGUUGUUGGUAGAACUUCGAGGUUUUAUCAUCAGUGGAGGUUCUACAUGCCCUCACCUUUUACACCUGUGGUUUCUUUUCUCCAAGCCCUUAACAUAUGGUGUCGUUCUGGCUCAUCCUUCUCCAGACUCCAAGCAUAUUCACCAUUCCACUGAAUAUAUAGAAUUAUGUUGUCCAAACUGAAUCAUCGGCUUUCACCGCCUCCUCUGCCUUAUCGGUCGCUAAUAGCUUAGUUGUUUUCUUCUACUGGCACUUGACCCACCUCAAAAUCUUUCCCUUAAUUAGUUCUUCUUUCUCUCCAUCGUCUUCUUCUUUCUCUAUAAAAAUGGGAACAAAAGAACAAAAACUCCAUGGAAAUGUCUUGACGAUUUGGGUAAUUUUUGUUGUAGCUUGUCUCUUGUUUCUAUUCUUGUCGGUAGUUUAAAGUUCAAUUUUCGAGUUUGGUUAUCUGAGUCUAAUUUUUUGGAACUGAAUAGUAGGUCGAUAAAUUCCACGGUCGAUCUCACACAACGUUUGAAGCCCUGUUCCCUGACUUCCUUCAUCAAUCUUGUUUUCUUGAAAAUUGAACGAGCCCUAAUUUAUUGCAAAUCACCUGAAAAUUAGGUAUUAUUGUUCUAUGAAGUUCUUUAUGUUAAUAAUAGUAUUUGUUUAUUUGUAUUAGGUUUGAUUAUCUCUGCCAUGUCAAACUCUCUAUGUUCAUCUAUUUUUCCUUCUCAUUCCAACGCUGACCAUUUAAUCUUCUUUUCUGUUGUUCUUGACUGUUCAGGUUCAAUAGGUUCUUCUCCCUCUUUUAGUUUGACUUUUUGUGGGUCUUGUUGCUAAUUAUGUUCUAUAGUUAUAUUAGAUUUUUGAUGUUCCUUUCAGGUUCCAUUUAAUUUUCAUGGCUGGUCUUUCAAGAUAAGGUUUCAGGUUUCUUUCCUUAUCCUUUUCAUCUUGAUUUUUUUAAUUUUUUUGUCUGUUCUGGAGCUGAUAGAAAGUGAUGUUUUUCUACCUCAAUUAACAUAUAAAAAGGGUUUUUUUGCUUCAAUUUCUAUAUAAAAGAACUAUAGGAAAUAGGGGAACAUAGAGACAUAUACAGGGAUGGGGGGUUAGACAAGGAAGAAAGGAAGCAAAGGACACGUAGUAAUGUUCAACUUAAAUGAUUUAAAGGAUUGUGAAGGAGGAGAUGUCAAUACACAUAGAUAAGGAAGCAACUCCAAACUCAAUAGUUCAUACAUUAAUUGAGUUGAUAAUUUGCAAUAAUUUUGGAGGGGUAAUUUAUGAUUUUUAAAGUCUCCAUCUUUUGGUAUUUGGAUGUUGCUUAAUUACCCCUAUUAGUUAACUUGUUAAAUUUUAGUCGCCUACUACUUACAACACCCAUGGAGCAGUACCAUACAUAUGUCUACUAACUUGGAGGUCGGGAAAACAUCUGCUAUACUUUAGGUCUGGUUUAAUAAGUCACUUUUGUUUGGUAAAACACGGUAAAUUGAGCUUUUUUGACAAUUUAUUUAAUUUACUAUUACAUUUUCAUGUUACCACUCCUUCCAAAGACUAUUUCAUUUGCAAAAAUGAUAGGAGAGUAUGUAGAAAGAGUAGUACAUGUAUUAUCUUGGUAACCUAAUUGUGAUAGCUCAAUUUUUUACUAGCUCAACAUUUACGUCUUCCUGGUCUAUUCGGAUGUAUAAAUUUUGACAUUCAUUACUUUGUGUUUAGGAACCAAUACCUGUACUCAUAUUACUGAUUGGGUUCUAUUUGUAUUUUAAGAACUAUUUAAAGAUUUGACCUUUUCAGUCUUUUAUAAAAAAGUGAGAUCAGUGAAACGUUUACAUACUAGAACUUUUUAUGUACAACACGACUAGAAGUUCAAGCUCCUCUAUAACAAUAGUGUUAUUUGGCUACACAUACAUACACACCUUAUAUCAACUUCCAAAAUUCUGCUCAACAACGGAAAUCAUAAAUUUCAAUAAUUGAUGUUGAGCAAUUAGAAACGAGCUUAUUUUUUUAGUUGGAGAAUAGAUAUUGGUGAAUUCCUUACAUUUGAGAACUACUCAAUUUUAUCCGGAUUGUUGAUGUAGAUGGAAUUAUAUCGGUUUGAAUCGAGUGUAGAGGAGGUGGUUUUGAUUUUGCCAAUGGCUAACGAGCAACAACAAAGGCCCUAAUCUUGGUGUUACAGUUGCUCAAAGAUUAUUUUCCUCAAACUUGCAAGCUUGAAGGCCUAUAUAUAUCACUACUCAAUCAUUUUCACAUAUUUUUACCUACACAUGCAGGUGGAUUAUAUGCAAAUUGCAGAGAACAAUGAUGUACUUUACUCUUCAUACCAACAUGGGCAAUUAACUUUACUCUUCCCAAAUUUUUGUACAAAGUUCUAAUAAAUGUAACAAAUAGUAACUUACUUAAAUUUAUUUGUGUAUUAUAGCAUUCUUCUCUUAUUUCUUUA
Molecule: non-coding RNA, 2578 nt
Organism: Lactuca sativa (garden lettuce)
Lineage: Eukaryota; Viridiplantae; Streptophyta; Magnoliopsida; Asterales; Asteraceae
Source: RefSeq, a predicted model, not a curated record